GAGGAAUAUUGGUCAAUGGGCGAUAGCCUGAACCAGCCAAGUAGCGUGAAGGAUGAAGGUCCUACGGAUUGUAAACUUCUUUUAUACGGGAAUAAAGUAUCCUACGUGUAGGAUUUUGUAUGUACCGUAUGAAUAAGCAUCGGCUAACUCCGUGCCAGCAGCCGCGGUAAUACGGAGGAUGCGAGCGUUAUCCGGAUUUAUUGGGUUUAAAGGGAGCGCAGACGGGAGAUUAAGUCAGUUGUGAAAGUUUGCGGCUCAACCGUAAAAUUGCAGUUGAUACUGGUUUCCUUGAGUGCAGUUGAGGCAGGCGGAAUUCGUGGUGUAGCGGUGAAAUGCUUAGAUAUCACGAAGAACCCCGAUUGCGAAGGCAGCUUGCUAAACUGUAACUGACGUUCAUGCUCGAAAGUGUGGGUAUCAAACAGGAUUAGAUACCCUGGUAGUCCACACGGUAAACGAUGGAUACUCGCUGUUGGCGAUAUACUGUCAGCGGCCAAGCGAAAGCAUUAAGUAUCCCACCUGGGGAGUACGCCGGCAACGGUGAAACUCAAAGGAAUUGACGGGGGCCCGCACAAGCGGAGGAACAUGUGGUUUAAUUCGAUGAUACGCGAGGAACCUUACCCGGGCUUAAAUUGCAGACGAAUUACGAGGAAACUUGUAAGCCGCAAGGCGUCUGUGAAGGUGCUGCAUGGUUGUCGUCAGCUCGUGCCGUGAGGUGUCGGCUUAAGUGCCAUAACGAGCGCAACCCUCGUGGUCAGUUACUAACAGGUUAAGCUGAGGACUCUGGCCAGACUGCCAUCGUAAGAUGUGAGGAAGGUGGGGAUGACGUCAAAUCAGCACGGCCCUUACGUCCGGGGCUACACACGUGUUACAAUGGGAGGUACAGAAGGCAGCUACCCGGCGACGGGAUGCCAAUCCCCAAAACCUCUCUCAGUUCGGACUGGAGUCUGCAACCCGACUCCACGAAGCUGGAUUCGCUAGUAAUCGCGCAUCAGCCACGGCGCGGUGAAUACGUUCCCG
RNAcentral lists this ribosomal RNA (1017 nucleotides) under uncultured bacterium. RNAcentral's name for it is "bacterial SSU rRNA". It matches the Rfam family "Bacterial small subunit ribosomal RNA", at positions 356 to 1376 of the family's 1533-position model. The record is from RNAcentral.